UAAAUGUUACACUGCUCUUUCAAAAAUUAUUCUUCCAAUAUAUGAAACUCUUUCGUUUAAAGAUUAUACAUUUAACUGUAGAUUAAUAUCCCUGUAUAUAAAUCUUUUUAUAAAUUUGAGUCAUGAUAACCCAGGCUCCGCUGUUCAAGGAUUAAUUAUAAAUGUUCAGUUUUCUGUCAACGGAGCUUAAUGAUGCGGUUUUUCAAUCGAAACGUCAUUCAUACGUGUCUAAAAGAUAAUAGAGCGGUGUAAUUACAUCACAUUUACAAUAUACUCGUCGGAAAAUUAUUUACACGAAAAGUCGGUCUUGUUGUUGGACUGUGUAGUGUGUCUAAAUUUAUCAAAAUAAAAUCGCAUCUAAAGCCAAUACAAUUCUGCAGAUCCGCAGUUACAGAUUUUCACGCUAUAGAUAAUUUACGUAAGGAGUACACAAGUUAGUCUAUAACACUUUCCUGAACAAGUGUAAAAAGCAUACAAUUACAAGGAUCAACGAACUGUUACAAUUUUAAUCCUCUUACCCAACUUAUCUUAAUCAUUCAGAUCUACUAUCCUGUUUCUGAACGCACAGAAGUUAGAGUCAUUCCCGGUUUAAUGGUAGUAUUCGUAAGCUGGAGAGAAAGUCUUCUGGUA
Long non-coding RNA from Osmia bicornis bicornis, 630 nucleotides. RefSeq lists it as uncharacterized. The record is from RefSeq and is a predicted model, not a curated record. NCBI's taxonomy places the organism in Eukaryota, Metazoa, Arthropoda, Insecta, Hymenoptera, Megachilidae. The transcript is spliced from 3 exons.